This 207-nucleotide long non-coding RNA is filed under the name Carica papaya (papaya). RNAcentral describes it as "long non-coding RNA (CPAP_LNC001353)". The record is from RNAcentral. Lineage: Eukaryota; Viridiplantae; Streptophyta; Magnoliopsida; Brassicales; Caricaceae.
CUGGAGACAUUGAUGGAUGAGGGCAGGAAGGUCAGGAGAUUCCAGUGGGGCCUCUCGCCCAGAGAUCAAGCAACACUUAUUGGUACUGGAGCUCAAGACAUACUCAACCGUUCUAGCAAAGGCACAGAUUGUGGAGAGGAGUUUCAACACCCGUCCUCAGUCAGCAGGGAGUCACCGACCCUCAGCUCCACCCCACAGACCAGCACC